CGUGACGCCUUGUGAAAAUCGACUCCCGAUUGACCCAAAAGCGUUCGAAGUUGAGCUUUUAUUCCAACCUUCCCACCAGAUGCCUGAGUACCAGGACGUCUCAGAACUCACUUGACUUCUCCCAGUUUGACCAGCAGACUGAAGCCCUGCCUGUGGCCAGUGUUCCCAGUAUAGAUAGAUAGAAACUAUAUUCAUUCCCUUGGGAUUUACCCUCAGGGAAAUUGUAGUAUAAUAAAAAUAAAUAAAUGUGUUUUAUUGCACACUUUUAUUCUUUCACUUUUUGUGUACUCUAAAGAGAAAUAUCUCAAUCUGAAGUGUUAGUUUAUUAAGAGAGCUUAUGUAAUGAAAUAAAAAUAAUUUACUCUGUUAGAAUAUUUUCACCCUUUGUCUAUGCUGUCCAUAGCAGAGUUUACUUGUUGUGUAAAAUGUUUUUCUGCAAAAAAGUAAAAAAAUAAAAU
Molecule: long non-coding RNA, 458 nt
Organism: Xiphophorus couchianus (Monterrey platyfish)
Lineage: Eukaryota; Metazoa; Chordata; Actinopteri; Cyprinodontiformes; Poeciliidae
Exons: 2
Source: RefSeq, a predicted model, not a curated record